CACCGCGGUUAUACGAGAGACCCUAAUUGAUAGCUACGGCGUAAAGAGUGGUUUGGGAAAAUAUAAAACAAAGCUAAAGACCUGCUAAGCCGUUACACGCACCCCGAAGGCACGAAAUCCUAACACGAAAGUAGCUUUACCACCACCCCAGCACCACGAAAGCUAAGAAA
RNAcentral lists this ribosomal RNA (170 nucleotides) under Leporinus crassilabris. Its description in RNAcentral is "partial small subunit ribosomal RNA". The record is from RNAcentral. Lineage: Eukaryota; Metazoa; Chordata; Actinopteri; Characiformes; Anostomidae.